Molecule: ribosomal RNA, 803 nt
Filed under: Yrocalanus kurilensis
Lineage: Eukaryota; Metazoa; Arthropoda; Copepoda; Calanoida; Ryocalanidae
Description: partial 28S ribosomal RNA
Rfam family: Eukaryotic large subunit ribosomal RNA
Source: RNAcentral
CCCUUAGUAAUGGCGAAUGAAAUGGGAAUGGCCCAUCGCGUAACUGCAGGUCAUCUUGGCCUUGCGGGAUGUUGCGUUUGGGAUAGUCUCGUCGGGAGGCUGGACCGCCAGUCAAAGUCCAACUUGACAGUGGCCACUGCCCACAGAGGGUGAUAGGCCCGUAAGGCGGCGGUCUGCUCCUGCUGACUUUUCCCCCGAGUCGGGUUGCUUGGGAGUGCAGCCCAAAGUGCGAGGUAAACUCCUUGUAAGGCUAAAUAUGACCCCAAGACCGAUAGCAAACAAGUACCGUGAGGGAAAAUUGAAAAGAACUUUGAAGAGAGAGUUCAAUAGUACGUGAAACUGUGUGGUGGUAAACAGAGGGGUUCUUGAAGUCUCCGUGGGGCACUCAACCUUGGUGGUGGGUGGCUGGGCCGUGUGUGAUCAGCAAUGACACUGCAGCCCACCCAACCUGCCUCCUGGGUGCACUUCCCCCACGGUUCACGGCAGGAACUGUUGGGCGCAGACUGAAGGCCCUGGACGAAGUUGUUGCUUCUGGCGGCAGCGCCGGGCGUCCUGGCUCAGCACCCGACAGGUAUGCGAGGGGAGUCGUAUAGCGAGCAACGCUCUGUUGCGGUCCCCAUCUCUCUGCCGAGUAGGUCAGUGGCCCCUCUGACCCGUCUUGAAACACGGACCAAGGAGUCUAACAUGUGUGCAAGCCGUUGGGUUGGCUAAACCCCAUGGCGGAGUGAAAGCAAAGAGCAGCCUGUCUGCUCGAGGGAUGAUCCCGUGAGGGUGCAGUCCUGCAACUUCCAAGCAACCUUGCA